Molecule: ribosomal RNA, 381 nt
Filed under: uncultured bacterium
Lineage: Bacteria
Description: bacterial SSU rRNA
Rfam family: Bacterial small subunit ribosomal RNA
Source: RNAcentral
UAUUGCGCAAUGGGCGAAAGCCUGACGCAGCAACGCCGCGUGGGGGAUGAAGGCCUUCGGGUUGUAAACCUCUUCCAGCAGGGAAGAAGCGAAAGUGACGGUACCUGCAGAAGAAGCACCGGCUAACUACGUGCCAGCAGCCGCGGUAAUACGUAGGGUGCAAGCGUUGUCCGGAUUUAUUGGGCGUAAAGAGCUCGUAGGCGGUUAGUCACGUCGGAUGUGAAAUCCCGGAGCUCAACUCCGGACCUGCAUUCGAUACGGGCUGACUCGAGUGUUGUAGGGGAGACUGGAACUCCUGGUGUAGCGGUGAAAUGCGCAGAUAUCAGGAAGAACACCGGUGGCGAAGGCGGGUCUCUGGGCAACUACUGACGCUGAGAGCGA